GAGGCUUUGGCUUAAUUUAAAGUAUUUGAGUUGCAAUCAGAAGAUGUAUUAUUAUACAGGCCUUCA
RNAcentral lists this transfer RNA (66 nucleotides) under Cyrtodactylus quadrivirgatus. Its description in RNAcentral is "tRNA-Ala". It matches the Rfam family "tRNA". Rfam says of the family: Transfer RNA (tRNA) molecules are approximately 80 nucleotides in length. Their secondary structure includes four short double-helical elements and three loops (D, anti-codon, and T loops). The record is from RNAcentral. Lineage: Eukaryota; Metazoa; Chordata; Lepidosauria; Squamata; Gekkonidae.